This is a non-coding RNA of Pelobates cultripes (western spadefoot toad), 234 nucleotides long. The record is from the annotation of a GenBank genome assembly. Lineage: Eukaryota; Metazoa; Chordata; Amphibia; Anura; Pelobatidae.
GUAACACUUGCAAGAGGUAGAUUAUGCGUGGAAGAGCAUUCAUUUUGAGAAUGUUAAUUCGGCAUAGUCAGCCAAAUUGGGCAGAUUCCAGUUUGUAAGGACGCGGGAAACAUCCCUUAGUAGAGUUGGGAAAUUUAGGUCAUAUAGCCAGGCUAAGGAGUGUGGGAGUAUUACUCCUAGAUAUAUUUGAUGGCCUCAGGGGCCCAUGUGAAGGAAAACUGCUGUGUGAGGUGU